CCCACCUCUCCCCACACCUGUCCACCCUGUGUGUGACAGUCUGUUAAUCCUUCCGAAAGCCAUGCAGUUUAGAUUCCCCUGUGCUCGGAAAUACUUAAUGGCCUCCGCGGUGGCUCCGUAGAAAAAGCCCAAACGUUGAAAUUUUGCUGUAAGGUCCUUUAGGAUCGGGCCCUAAGUUCCUUAUUCAACUUUAUCUGUCUCUUUACAACCACUAGGAACCUUCGAUCUUGGUUACAUUCGUUGAUCGUUUGUAGCUCGCUGCAAGGAUCACAUUGCAAACCUCCAAGUCGGUGGAAAUCAUUAUUUUUAUAAUGUGAGACCACAGAGAACGAGGUUAAGGAUAAACACCAAUGGACGUAUGGAAGUAACAAACCUAUUUCAAGAUUUAAUGGCUGUUUCUAACUCCACACAUACCAGCACAAUCUUCCUGAGUAACUCCUUGGUCGCAAAAGAGGGAUGUGACCCAAUCCAUCUUACCUGGAAGCCAAAGUUCACACCAUGUAGGAACUUCUGUUUCAGGUUCUACUGCAGACAUGAUCUUUUCUGCCUUUCUCUUCAAUUUUAAAGAUUGACCUGGCUUCAGAGACCUGCUGCCCUGAUGUGCUGUCUACAACGGCGUAAGAACAGUCUGCAAAUUUGAGUCAUCACCGAUUUUUGCUUUGUGGCCCUUCCUUCCUUCCUUCUUUCCUUCCUUCCUUCCCUCCUUAUGCAGCUUUGCAAUCAGUUAAACCAUCUAUGAAAUUGCAAUGACCUAAUGCAUCAUUUAGGCAUAAACAAAUUUUGGCUCAGAAAUUAUUUCUCAAAACCUCUUUUUUGAGUUGUCACUUCAGCACAUAUUCCUGUCAAGCACUGACCUCUUACUGAUUCUUAAUUUCUUUUGAGGCAGCCAGAGAUAGUAGUUACCUCUUCACCAAAGGAGAAACCAUAGGGGAAAAUGACCCGGUGAAGACUGCUGGUUUUCCAUUCUUCGGUUCAAUCACUUCGGUUCAUCGGGGAAAUAAAACUGUCAGCACAACAUCUCUGGGCACAGAGGACAUGGGUAGGGUGUGUGAUUCAAAGGAUUGCCUACGGCUAAAGCCACUGUGUAAGCUUUAAUUAACUGGGACAGCCAGGGGCAGGUACUGUAGAAAGAAACACUAUCAUUAUUGAUGUUAAUUUUUUAUGUGAAUAUUGGGAAACUCCUGGAUGCAUUGUUCCAUAAUUAAUUUUCUUAUAAGUUAUGAAUGUCCUAGGAUAUCCCCUAAAGGAGAGCUGGAGAGAGCGAUUCAUUUAAGUCAGUUUAGUUUUUAGAGGCUCUUCCUGUAGCCAUAUAUUUAUGACUACAGUUGAGUUUUGGUUUCUUGUGUGGCUUUCUGGAGCCUAGAAUAACUUUGCCUUAAGAUGGAAACGGUUAAUGAUUACGACUAUGCUUUUUCAGAAUAGUUUAAGUUCCUUGGGUGCAUUUUUAGGCUGCAGGCUGAAGCACGAUGAACGGAACUUGCAGUUGCGUUGGAGUUUGAACCAGUUAUUGCAGGAAACACACAGUUUCAUUGCACAGGAACGAUUGAUUAAAUCAUUGACGGUUGGAGACUGAACUGAAUCUCUGGCACCACUUCUUUUCCUGGAAACGGUGAAAGUUCUCACGCUCUGAUCAAUGCUUGGUUCCCUCGGGGGACCAGUCUCCAUCUCGAAGCUAUCCAGGGGCCCCGCCAGUCAUCUCAUCAGCACGAACCCAGAUUUCAAAUUACCUAGUAACCCUGACCUGCUGUGUAAGAGAAAGAUUGAAGACCGUCUGUGCACGUGUUGUGGGGACAAACACCUGCAGCGCUCUGAACCUGCCUCAGUUCCAGGGGUCACAGAGCAUCUUCCACUCAGCAGCUUCCUCACCAAUAUGCGAUUUCAGGUCCACAGACAAUGUGAGCCAAGUGCUGCAGCAGGAGGCAGUGGCCCCCCGGCCAGGGCCCAGCACAGAGCCUAGCAAAGGAAACACAGGAAGGAGAGGUGAAAAAGGUGAGCUGUGCCGCGGAUCAGCGAUCCUUUCACCUAGAGAUGGUCGAGCGGGGCAUGCCUGCCUCAUACCACAGAAGCACACUCUCCAAGGGUGCACUGGAAUCCUGGAGAGUUUUUAGAUGAUUCGGCUUCUGGAUUCUCAACUGUGUAUUAUCUUCCUUGGAAAGUGAUCGGCCUCAGACCAUGCUCUGAGCGUGCCCGGUGGCUCCCCUUCCCACCUCUUCUCACAUCUCGUUUCUGCUGCUUACAAAGAACAGCGUGGCCCUCCCAUAUGACAGCCCUUACUAUGCAAGCUUGUUCAUGAUGAAAACAUCUUGGGAAGGCCACAGCCCGGACGACUCAGAAUGCCAUGUACGUGUCAGGGAAGUCUCUUAAUCCAGACUCCCAAACCUCACCUGUCCCUCUUAUUAAACAAUGUAUUUCCAAAAAAAAUUACUUUUUAUUGCUUAUUAAGUACCAAAACUAAUAGGUGCUAUGUUGUCUUGAUCAUUUGUGGACUAAUAAAUAAUAUUAUUGGUUCCUGAAA
Long non-coding RNA from Canis lupus familiaris (dog), 2515 nucleotides. RefSeq lists it as uncharacterized. Lineage: Eukaryota; Metazoa; Chordata; Mammalia; Carnivora; Canidae. The transcript has 5 exons. The record is from RefSeq and is a predicted model, not a curated record.